Molecule: ribosomal RNA, 253 nt
Filed under: uncultured bacterium
Lineage: Bacteria
Description: partial 16S ribosomal RNA
Rfam family: Bacterial small subunit ribosomal RNA
Source: RNAcentral
UACGGAGGGUGCAAGCGUUGUUCGGAAGUACUGGGCGUAAAGCGCGUGUAGGCGGACCGAUAAGUUGGGAGUGAAAGCCCUGGGCUCAACCCAGGAAGUGCUUCCAAUACUGCCGGUCUUGAGUUCCGGAGAGGGUGGUGGAAUUCCCGGUGUAGAGGUGAAAUUCGUAGAUAUCGGGAGGAACACCAGUGGCGAAGGCGACCACCUGGACGAGAACUGACGCUGAGACGCGAAAGCGUGGGGAGCAAACAGG